This 791-nucleotide ribosomal RNA is filed under the name uncultured bacterium. RNAcentral describes it as "bacterial SSU rRNA". It matches the Rfam family "Bacterial small subunit ribosomal RNA", at positions 8 to 796 of the family's 1533-position model. The record is from RNAcentral.
AGAGUUUGAUCCUGGCUCAGAGUGAACGCUGGCGGCGUGCCUAAUACAUGCAAGUCGAACGCGAAAGUCCUUCGGGAUGAGUAAAGUGGCGCACGGGUGAGUAAUACAUGGGAACAUGCCCUUGGAUGGGGAAUAACGUUUGGAAACGAACGCUAAUACCGCAUAAUCUCGCAAGAGUAAAGGUGGCGCCGCAAGGGCUACCGUCCAAGGAUUGGCCCAUGUCCCAUUAGCUAGUUGGCGGGGUAAUGGCCCACCAAGGCAACGAUGGGUAUGUGGUCUGAGAGGAUGAUCACACACACUGGAACUGAGACACGGUCCAGACUCCUACGGGAGGCAGCAGUAGGGAAUAUUGCACAAUGGGGGAAACCCUGAUGCAGCAACGCCGCGUGAGUGAAGAAGGCCCUUGGGUUGUAAAGCUCUUUAGCGAGGGAAGAAGGUAGAUACGGUGAAUAAUCGUGUUUGCUGACGGUACCUCGAGAAUAAGCACCGGCUAAUUUCGUGCCAGCAGCCGCGGUAAUACGAAAGGUGCAAGCGUUACUCGGAAUCACUGGGCGUAAAGCGCACGUAGGCGGACUCGUAGGUCAAUUGUGAAAUACCUGGGCUCAACCCGGGAACUGCAGUUGAAACCGCUUGUCUUGAAUACCUGAGAGGGUGGGGGGAAUACCUGGUGGAGAAGUGAAAUUCGUAGAGAUCAGGUGGAACACCGGAGGCGAAGGCGCCUGCCUGGCAGUGUAUUGACGCUGAGGUGCGAAAGUGCGGGGAGCAAACAGGAUUAGAUACCCUAGUAGUCC